AUCCCUGGUCUCGCUCAGGGAGUUAAGGAUCCCGUGACUAGGUCAAAGGUGCAGCUCAGAUAUGGUGUUGCCAUGGCUGUGGCAUAGGCCUGCAGCUGCAGCUCCAAUCCAACCACUGGCCUGGGAACUUCCGUAUGCCACAGGUGUGGCCAUAAAAAAGUAAUAAUAAUAAUAAAAUAAAUAAAUACAUAGUUUAAGAAUCUUAAAUAUAUGCUUUCAUUUUUUUUCUCCCAGCCUUUUUGCUUUGGUUCUCAUACGUUUUUACUGCUACAUAUUUUGUAAACUCACAAUACAUUGUUUUGUUUCAUUUCUUUCUUUCUUUGUUUUUAUGGCCACACCCACAGCAUACAGAAGUUCCUGGGCCAGGGAUUGAAUCCCAGCCACGGCUGUGACCUAUGCCAUGGCUGCAGCAAUGUCAGAUCAUUUAACCCACUGUAUCAGGCCAGGGGUCAAACCCGAACCUCGGACAGUGACCUGAGCUGCUACAGUCAGAUUCUUAAUCCACUGUGUCACAGCAGGAGCUCCUACAGUGUUUUAUUUUGUUUUAAACUAAAGACGGGAUUAAGAUGGCAGAGUAGAAGGACUAGAGCUCACCUUCUCUCAUAAAAGCAACAAAAUUAUAGCCAACUGAUGAACUACCUCCAAACAAACAGACUGCAAACUAUCAAAAAAGAUAUCCUGCUCCAGAAGACAAAGAGGAGGCCACAUCAAGACACUAGGAGGGGCGAUUAUGCCAUAUAAGCAACCCCAUACCCGCUGGGUGGGCAGCCCACAGAAUGGAAAGUAACUGUAUCACAGAGACUCACCUAUGGGAGUGAGAGUUCUGAGCCCCACGUCAGGUCCUCAUGCCCAGGGAUCUGGUAUUGGAAGAAGGAGUCCCCGGGGCACCUGGCAUUGAAGGCCAGUGGGGCUUGUGCACAGGAGCUCCACAGGACUGGGGGAAACGGAUACCCCAUUCUUGAAAGGUGCACACAGGCUCUUAUGUGCACUGGGUCCCAGGGCAAAGCAGAGGCUCCAUAGGGAUUUGGAUCAGACCUGACUGCAGUUCUUGGAGGAUCUCCUGGGAAAACAGGGUGACUGUGGCUUGUCGUGGGGGAAGGACAUUGGAGUCAAAGGUCUCGGGAAAAAUCGUCAGAGUGUAUUCCUCUAGAGGUGGCCAUUUUGGGGAAAGCUGGCCCCACCCAUCAGUGCUGAGAAGCCCCAGGCCAAACAAUAAUCCAGGUGGGAUCAGAGCCCCACCUGUCAGCAGACAGGCUGCUAAAGACCCCCCCACAUACAGCCAGCUUCACAUCUCACCCACACAAAGCCCCCACCCACCAGAGGAAUAGGAAUAAGCUCCACCUACCAGUGGGCAGGCACCAGUCCCUCCCAUCAGGAAGCCUGCAGCAAGCCCCCUUACCAACUUCAGCCACAAGGACAGACACCACAAAUAAGAGAGGCUACAACUCUAUUGUCUGUAAAAAGGAGAC
This 1469-nucleotide long non-coding RNA is filed under the name Sus scrofa (pig). Its description in RNAcentral is "lncRNA (ENSSSCG00035020938.1)". Lineage: Eukaryota; Metazoa; Chordata; Mammalia; Artiodactyla; Suidae. The record is from RNAcentral.